RNAcentral lists this ribosomal RNA (229 nucleotides) under uncultured bacterium. Its description in RNAcentral is "partial 16S ribosomal RNA". It matches the Rfam family "Bacterial small subunit ribosomal RNA", at positions 526 to 779 of the family's 1533-position model. The record is from RNAcentral.
CAAGUAAGACUAGUGUUAUUCAUCUUAAUUAGGUUUAAAGGGUACCUAGACAGUAUUUCUAGCCUCCAAAGGGAACAGAUUUACUAGAGUUUUAUGUGAGAGGAAAUAUUAGAACCAUUGGAGUAGUGAUAAAAUGUUUUGAUUUACUAAUGGGACGGAUAACGGCGAAGGCAAACCUCUAUGUAAUAACUGACGUUGAGGGACGAAGGCUUGGGUAGCGAAUAGGAUU